GAUGAACGCUAGCGGCAGGCUUAACACAUGCAAGUCGAGGGGUAUGGUUCUUCGGAACCAGAGACCGGCGCACGGGUGCGUAACGCGUAUGCAACCUACCUUCAACUGGGGGAUAGCCCGGGGAAACCCGGAUUAAUACCGCAUAACACAAUGGAGUCUCAUGGUUUUAUUGUUAAAGAUUUAUUGGUUGAAGAUGGGCA
RNAcentral lists this ribosomal RNA (200 nucleotides) under uncultured bacterium. Its description in RNAcentral is "partial 16S ribosomal RNA". It matches the Rfam family "Bacterial small subunit ribosomal RNA", at positions 28 to 231 of the family's 1533-position model. The record is from RNAcentral.